AGACAAAAUGAAUCGGUCUCUAUAAGUAAAGCUGUAGGAAUGUCUGCAUGUUUCACUGGUUUCUCUGCUCCAACACAGCUGAUUCAGUCUUUGAAUUAUCUCUUCCAAGUUUUGCAGGAGCCUGAUAAUCACUCACUCAUUCAAAUCAGGUGUGUUAAGAGCAGAGAAACAAGCAGAACAUGCAGAGCUGCGGCCCUCGAGGACCAGGUUUGCCCACCCAUGGUUGUGACCUGAGUGCCUUCAGCUGCAGCCUCCAUCAAUCAGUCAAGCUUAAUCUGAGUGAGGGAGAAGCAGCUUGAUGAAGGCUGAAGGAGAGGAGGGUACACCAGGGUCUUCACUGUGAUGCGCGCUCUGACAAGACAACACAGACUCGUGCCUACAUUCUCAUGGACCUGGCCAGACCUGAAGCCAUCCAGAUUUUUUUUAUAUGCUGCGGAGGUGCGUGAACCAGGAGUCGAUGGACGUGUCCUCAUUCCAAGGAGGACCCUGAAAGAAAGUUUAGGAAACUGUGCAACCCUCAAAGAAACAUAGAAAAGACAGAAAUUCAUCACUCGUAACCAAAAGGCUGGUGAGUCCAUUGAAUCCUCAGCAAGCAGUCUGAGAUACAAAGCUCAGCAGGGCCGGAUUAACACUUCGCUGUACCCUGGGCAACAAUAUUCAAGGGCCCCAU
Long non-coding RNA from Austrofundulus limnaeus, 670 nucleotides. RefSeq lists it as uncharacterized. Lineage: Eukaryota; Metazoa; Chordata; Actinopteri; Cyprinodontiformes; Rivulidae. The record is from RefSeq and is a predicted model, not a curated record. The transcript is spliced from 3 exons.